UACGGAGGGUGCGAGCGUUGUCCGGAAUCACUGGGCGUAAAGGGCGCGUAGGCGGCGCGAGGAGUCAACGGUGAAAGCCCGGGGCUCAACCCCGGGUCGGCCGUCGAUACUCUCGUGCUUGAGCACUGUAGAGGCAGGUGGAAUUCCGGGUGUAGCGGUGGAAUGCGUAGAGAUCCGGAAGAACACCGGUGGCGAAGGCGGCCUGCUGGGCAGUAGCUGACGCUGAGGCGCGACAGCGUGGGGAGCAAACAGG
This 253-nucleotide ribosomal RNA is filed under the name uncultured bacterium. RNAcentral describes it as "partial 16S ribosomal RNA". It matches the Rfam family "Bacterial small subunit ribosomal RNA", at positions 524 to 776 of the family's 1533-position model. The record is from RNAcentral.